Hordeum vulgare subsp. vulgare (domesticated barley) is the source of this 2353-nucleotide long non-coding RNA. RefSeq lists it as uncharacterized. The transcript is spliced from 3 exons. NCBI's taxonomy places the organism in Eukaryota, Viridiplantae, Streptophyta, Magnoliopsida, Poales, Poaceae. The record is from RefSeq and is a predicted model, not a curated record.
GGCUGUUACUGCUGCUGUCGUUCCUGCUUCCUAGUGGUCAGAUUGCGCGCACUAUCUUUUAAUUUUCUCGGAACGAGGGGCGGGGGAAGGGAUGGGCCUCCGAUACGCCUCAUGAUUUGCUGCCCGGUGCGUCAUACGAAGAUUCGUAGAACAGCGAUAGCAAAAAAAAAACAUGUGCAGUGACCCUGUCUGCAUUGCAGGAUUCAGGGAAAUGGACACUUGUAUGCAAAGGCUAAUUAGUUAACAAAUUGGAGUGUGAGCCCGGUUAAGAAAUCCUUUCGAAACAACAUCCCGUGACCGCGAUGCUAUUUCUAACACGGUUGUCGUUAGCGAAAGUUCGCAUGUGUCAAACCAACCAUUUGACAUUGGCAGGAUUGGCUUCAGGUGAGGUGAAUCGUCCAUUAACUUGUGAAGCACUUCGCCUUGCUGGACGAAAGCGCGCGGAAGCUUUCUACCGGCCUCGAUGGCUCGUUCCUUCCGCUGCCAAGACCUGCAUCAUUCAGUGUGUGGAUGGGAUAACAUUCUUUUAAACCGCUGCUUACCUAAAAGGGUGCCGGGACGUAACGUUUUAAGUUGACUGCUUUGCAUGAUAGGAAUGCUUGGGAAGAUCGCUCAAACUUGAACAUAUCAACAGCUUGGCAGUAUUAAAUGACUGGAUAAUGAAUUUCUCAGCGUUUCAUUUAAAUUUAAGAUUAUCUCAAUCUCGUUUAGCAUUAUGUGCAUGUGUGUGUUGUCACCAAGCUAUUUAAAACUUCUAGAAUGCUGGAGUUUAUUGUACUGUACCUUCUCGUUUGCCGGAUCAUGGGAAGUUAGUGAUGGUUGUGUAAAAGAAAAGAAGUUUAACUAACAUAGCUAAGAUGCAGUGGUAUCAAUAAGGAACCAUUAUUUGUUGCUAGUGAUGAGACAUACUAAUGACCGGUGAAAGGUAGCUUCUACCUUCCGCAUCUAGUUUAUAUUUAUCCGAAGACUGCUAGCAGGUUGCAUACUUAGAAGAUAUGUUCACAUUGCCGUAUCCAUACUGAUCCGCGCUGUGUUUCUGGAGUUACCUGAUGAACAACGACACUGAAAUAUAUUAUAGCUAGAAGCUUCAUAUAUAAUGCUUUUACUUAAUCCAACGUGAUGCUGUCACGAAGAAGGAAAUUUUCAUUUGCGGAGGGCAAAUAUGGAAUAUCAUGAUAGGCAAGGGAACAAGUGAUCAUAAUGUUUCUUAUUUUGGUCUUAUCUACAACAGAUUAUCCAGCAGUUGGUGUUGUAAAGGUGUACAUCGUAUGUACCAACACAUAUCACUGUUAUAUAGCAUCAUCUCUAAUGCUUCCAGCCUCCUAUGGCGUUUGCAAAUUAUCCUGCAGAUCACAAUUUUCUGUUACUUCAUACAGCAAAGAUAAUAGAAUAAUACUUUUUAUUUUUAACAAGUCUGGGCGUAUUGAGCUAAGUCCUGCAAAUCAAUGGCUGAAUCCUUUGUGUAAAGAAGAAGAAAAAAAGUCCUCCCUCAACUGAUAAAGAACAAAAAUUAAGGUUUUACAUGCUAAUUAGUAUUACAAUGCCUGAUCGAUCAUAAUCUCUAGGAACACACACACACACACACAUAUAUAUAACCUCAUAUUUGCUGCCACUGUCUGGGAGAGGCUGCUGUAGACAUGUUGAAUGUUGUUUACAAUGCCUCCCGUGAAAUCUUUAGAUACUGUUCCAGAAAUUUGUACGUUGUGCGUUAAUGCUCAUGAUUUUUUUUCUUGAAAUAUCUAUGGCAGAUCCUCAAUAGUGUGCAGUUUGCUGAUUCGAACAAGGAAAAAACAUAUCGUGCCAAAGCUAGUAUGUUUUCUUGAGGGUGAUACUUGCCAUGCCCUUGUUACUAGUGGUUGUCGUACUCCUUUUGAGUUUGUUCACGUUGGUGGCCUAAUAAUUGAUUGGGCAACUAAAUCACUAUUAUAUCUUCAGCUUCAUGAUUACUGUCCACUAACACGUUAUGAACGGUUUGGUUUUCUGAAGGAGUAGUCUGGCUAGUCUAGAGAGUGAGGUACAGGCUUACAACAGCAUUCACAUUCAUUUCCUAAUGAGAUUCCUUCUAGCUGGGACUCAGCAAAAUGAUGUUGGUUUGACAGGAUACAACAGCCUACAAAACUUCUCCUCAAAAAGCAAUGUGAUUAAUGCCUUUUAUGUCAUGUGCGCAUUUGUUGAUUGUUGUAUUGCAAAUGAAGUCAAGCCUUCCUUUGCGCUGUACUUCUCCCAAGGUUCACAUCAGUAAUCAACUUUGUACUUCUAGUAAAGGGAGCAGUUCGAUCCGGAAUUUUUCACAGAUGCAAAUUCCUUGAUGCCUUAGACAUCGGAUGCAGAUCAACAUUCUAUCUCUCUCAGU